Molecule: ribosomal RNA, 253 nt
Filed under: uncultured bacterium
Lineage: Bacteria
Description: partial 16S ribosomal RNA
Rfam family: Bacterial small subunit ribosomal RNA
Source: RNAcentral
UACGGGGGGGGCGAGCGUUGUUCGGAAUUACUGGGCGUAAAGGGUUCGUAGGUGGCUCGCUAAGUCAGACGUGAAAUCCCUCAGCUCAACUGGGGAAUGGCGUCUGAGACUGGCAAGCUUGAGUGCAGGAGAGGAACGCGGAAUUCCAGGUGUAGCGGUGAAAUGCGUAGAUAUCUGGAGGAACACCGGUGGCGAAGGCGGCGUUCUGGACUGCAACUGACACUGAUGAACGAAAGCCAGGGGAGCAAACGGG